This 440-nucleotide ribosomal RNA is filed under the name uncultured bacterium. RNAcentral's name for it is "partial 16S ribosomal RNA". It matches the Rfam family "Bacterial small subunit ribosomal RNA", at positions 338 to 795 of the family's 1533-position model. The record is from RNAcentral.
CCUACGUGCGGCAGCAGUAGGGAAUAUUGCUCAAUGGGGGAAACCCUGAAGCAGCAAAGCCGCGUGGAGGAUGAAGGUUUUCGGAUUGUAAACUCCUUUUGUUAGAGAAGAUAAUGACGGUAUCUAACGAAUAAUCACCGGCUAACUCCGUGCCAGCAGCCGCGGUACUACGGAGGGUGCAAGCGUUACUCAGAAUCACUCGUCGUAAAGCGCGCGUAGGCGGGAUAGCAAGUCAGAUGUGAAAUCCUAUGGCUUAACCAUAGAACUGCAUUGGAAACUGUUAUUCUAGAGUAUGGGAGAGGUAGGUGGAAUGCUUGGUGUAGGGGUAAAAUGCGUAGAGAGCAAGAGGAAUACUCAUUGCGAAGGCGACCUGCUAGAACAUAACUGACGCUGAUGCGCGAAAGCGUGGGGAGCAAACAGGAUUAGAUACCCUAGUAGUC